AUGAGCACCUGGGCCUUCCCGGCGGCCCUUCUCCUCCUCUGCCUGACUUCGGAAAGCCUGCAAGGCGGGCUACCUCUAUUGUCUCCUGGCCUGGGGAAAGGCUUAGGAGGCUUGAAUGGCUAUCGAUCAGGCUACGGCUCCCCCAGUGGUCUAGGAGCAGGAUUCAGGAAUGGGCGAGGGCUGGGAGCCCAGCCAGGCCCUCCAGCUCAGAAUGGCUACGGAACAGGCAUCGGAGGGGGUGUGAAGCCCCAGAAGCUGGGUGUCUCCCCAGGGUUUAGCAAUGGGAAUGGGCUGGGAGUCGGGGCCUUCCCAGGUGCUGCUGUCCAGCCAGCUCAUGGAGCCCCAGGAAGAGGCUGGAUCCCUGGGGUCCCCCCAUCUACUGCAUCCUUCUCCCCAGGCUUUGGAGUGGGGGUGAAACCUCAGAAGCCAGGAUAUGGAAAUGGGCUAGGAGCUGGUGCCUUCCCAGGGCUGGGAGCCCAGCCAGGAUUUGGGAGCAGAAACGGAUUGGGCGUUGGUGCUUUUCCAGGGCCAGGUGUGCUGCCAGGCCCCGGGGCUCAGGAUGGCCAGGGACCAGGAAUUGCAGGGAGUGUGAAACCUCAAAAGCCCGGACUCAGCAAUGGGAAUGGGAUGGGAGUUGGGGCCUUCCCAGGAGUUGGAGCCCAGCCAGGCUUGGGAGGGGGCGUGAAACCUCAGAAACCAGGUCUCGCAGCUCCAAAUGGCUUUGGACCAGGGUUCGGGACCCAGAACGGAGCCCAGCCAGGCCUCGGAGGACUGAAACCUCAGAAGUCAGGCUUCGGAGCAGGCGUGAGACCCCAGAGGCCAGGAUUUGGGAAUGGGAAUGGGCUGGGAACCCAGCCAGGCCCCCCAGCUCAGAAUGGCUACGGAGCAGGCUUUGGAGGGGGUGUGAAAAGUCAGAAACCAGGAUUUGGGAACGGGAACGGAAACGGGCUGGGAGCCCAGCCAGGCCCAGCAUCCCAGCAGGGAUAUGGAGCAGGCUUCGAGGGGAGUGUGCAGCCCCAGGAGCCAGGAUAUGGUAAUGGAGAUGCACUGGGAGCCCAGCCAGGCCCUGCAGCUCAAAACAGCGAUGGAGCAGGCUCGGCAGUAGGCGUGAGACCCCAGAAGCCAGGAUCUGGGAACAGCAAUGGACUGGGCAUCCAGCCAGGGUCUGCGGUUCCCAUCGGCUACGGACCAGGCAUUGCUGAGGCCAUGAAGCCUCAGAAGCCAGUUUACAGGAAUGGGCUGGGAGCCGGAGCCUUCCCAGGUGAAGGGGCCCAGCCAGCUGAGGGGGGCAGGGUCAGGCCCUGGAGUUCUGGGAGGUGGGGAAGAGGAGCACAGGGUGCAUUGGGCAAAGAGCUGGGUCCUGGGGAAGAGAAGGGGCAGGGUGGGGUCCACCUGUCACUCAGCCUCUGUCUGAGCCCUCGGAAGCCAGGUGAGCCGAGCCCUCCUCAUCCCUUUCCUGAACCUCCUCCUGCUCUCCUUCCAGAACCGCUCCCCCCGCCCCCCAAUACUGCCUCUCACAUCCCUGCUUUUCCUCUCCAGGAUACGGCAACGGCAUCGGGCUGGGGGCCCGGCCAGUACCUACUCCAGCCAUCCAGUGGGGACCGAAACUUCAGGAAGCAGGGUACCAGGCUCAGAAUGGCUAUGGACCAGGAGCAGAACUGGGCUUUGGCGGUGGCCUCAAGCCCCAGAAAGUCGGUUUUGGUUAUGGGAAUGGCAGUCUGGCAGCCGGGGUCUUCCCUGAGGCCCGCCCGCAGCCAGGGUUCCCUGGGGCCGAUGGCUUUCAGAAUGGGUAUGAGGAGGCAGCACUUGUGCCCGGCAAAGUGGCCGCUCCAGCCCCUGGAGGAAAUGGUCAGGCCCGGGCCAUGAGGGGCUCUCCCUGGCCCUCCCUCCAGCCCUGGGGGGCCGCCUUGAAGCCUAGAUAUGGGGCCGGAGGGCCUUAUGGGCAGCUGAGGCCAGAGCUGGGCCCUGGGCCCUUGGGCCGCUGCCCUCUUGGGAAAUGCUGAGCACCAGAGCAGAUCCACUGCCCAUCCUGAGCGCCUCUGCAUCAGAGCCUGGUCUGCCAGGCGAGGCUGGCCAGAGCCUCAGGCUUGCCCUCUGGCCUGGAGUCUCCUGCAGGAUGGAAGUAUCAAUAAAGGCAAUGUGCUUCCCUGUUUGUCUCAGUGUGCUACGUGCGGGGA
Hippopotamus amphibius kiboko is the source of this 2177-nucleotide RNA transcript. It is a transcript of the gene named glycine rich extracellular protein 1, with no coding region annotated. NCBI's taxonomy places the organism in Eukaryota, Metazoa, Chordata, Mammalia, Artiodactyla, Hippopotamidae. The transcript is spliced from 41 exons. The record is from RefSeq and is a predicted model, not a curated record.